Molecule: ribosomal RNA, 718 nt
Filed under: uncultured fungus
Lineage: Eukaryota; Fungi
Description: SSU rRNA
Rfam family: Eukaryotic small subunit ribosomal RNA
Source: RNAcentral
CGCGUGGUUAUAUUUUGUUGGUUUUUAGAACCGCCGUAAUGAUUAAUAGGGACAGUCGGGGGCAUCUGUAUUCAAUUGUCAGAGGUGAAAUUCUUGGAUCUGUUGAAGACAAACUACUGCGAAAGCAUUUGCCAAGGAUGUUUUCAUUGAUAAGGAACGAAAGUUAGGGGAUCGAAGACGAUCAGAUACCGUCGUAGUCUUAACUAUAAACUAUGCCGACUAGGGAUCGGACGAUGUUAUUUUUUGACUCGUUCGGCACCUUUCGAGAAAUCAAAGUGCUUGGGCUCCAGGGGGAGUAUGGUCGCAAGGCUGAAACUUAAAGAAAUCGACGGAAGGGCACCACCAGGGGUGGAACCUGCGGCUUAAUUUGACUCAACACGGGGAAACUCACCAGGUCCAGACACAGUGAGGAUUGACAGAUUGAUAGCUCUUUCUUGAUUCUGUGGGUGGUGGUGCAUGGCCGUUCUUAGUUGGUGGAGUGAUUUGUCUGCUUAAUUGCGAUAACGAACGAGACCUUAACCUGCUAAAUAGCCCGUAUUGCUUCGGCAGUACGCUGGCUUCUUAGAGGGACUAUCGGCUCAAGCCGAUGGAAGUUUGAGGCAAUAACAGGUCUGUGAUGCCCUUAGAUGUCCCGGGCCGCACGCGCGUUACACUGACAAAGCCAGCGAGUAUUUCCUUAGCCAGAAGGCUUGGGUAAUCUUGUUAAACUUUGUCGUGC